RNAcentral lists this ribosomal RNA (200 nucleotides) under uncultured prokaryote. Its description in RNAcentral is "partial 16S ribosomal RNA". It matches the Rfam family "Bacterial small subunit ribosomal RNA", at positions 1183 to 1382 of the family's 1533-position model. The record is from RNAcentral.
CGUCAAAUCAUCAUGCCCUUUAUGUCCUGGGCAACACACGUACUACAAUGGUCGUAACAGAGAGAGACGAAGCAGCAAUGUGGAGUGAAACUGAAAAAAGCGAUCUCAGUUCGGAUUGAAGGCUGAAAUUCGCCUUCAUGAAGUCGGAAUUGCUAGUAAUGGCAGGUCAGCAUACUGCCGUGAAUACGUUCCCGGGCCUU